UGGGGAAUCUUGCGCAAUGCGCGAAAGCGUGACGCAGCAACGCCGCGUGCGGGAAGACGGCCUUCGGGUUGUAAACCGCUUUCAGUUGGGACGAAGCUCUUCCGGUGAAUAGCCGGAUGGAGUGACGGUACCUUCACAAGAAGCCCCGGCUAACUACGUGCCAGCAGCCGCGGUAAUACGUAGGGGGCAAGCGUUGUCCGGAAUCAUUGGGCGUAAAGAGCGUGUAGGCGGCCCGGUAAGUCCGCUGUGAAAGUCCAGGGCUCAACCCUGGGAUGCCGGUGGAUACUGUCGGGCUCGAGUCCGGAAGAGGAGUGUGGAAUUCCUGGUGUAGCGGUGAAAUGCGCAGAUAUCAGGAGGAACACCAAUGGCGAAGGCAGCACUCUGGGACGUGACUGACGCUGAGACGCGAAAGCGUGGGGAGCAAACA
This 427-nucleotide ribosomal RNA is filed under the name uncultured bacterium. RNAcentral's name for it is "bacterial SSU rRNA". It matches the Rfam family "Bacterial small subunit ribosomal RNA", at positions 355 to 774 of the family's 1533-position model. The record is from RNAcentral. RNAcentral also lists the same sequence under 1 other name.